This is a long non-coding RNA of Lagenorhynchus albirostris (white-beaked dolphin), 7067 nucleotides long. RefSeq lists it as uncharacterized. The record is from RefSeq and is a predicted model, not a curated record. NCBI's taxonomy places the organism in Eukaryota, Metazoa, Chordata, Mammalia, Artiodactyla, Delphinidae. The transcript is spliced from 3 exons.
CGGAGCCCGGACCCACGACCACCACCGCCGGACAGAGCGCGCGCUGCGAGGAGGCCGGCGGGAGCUGAGCUGUUUCUGCAGAAGCCUCACUGUGCGCAUUCCUGAAGCCAGGGCGGGUCACGAGUGACGCCCACGUCCAAGGUCCAGACCCCCGCCCUUUAGGGAGGCACCGUCCAGGCCAGCUGGACCCCUCCUCCGCCCGCUGCAUGCGGCCUCCCAGGAUGACAGCGCCCCAGGGAGGCGGCUCCCAGACCCGCCGGCGCAUCUCCGGGAGAGAAGCCAGCUGUGAGACAGGUGCAGGGGAUGCCAAGGAGGAGAGAGAGCGAGAGGCGUCUGGAGGAUGCUCCGGAGGGGCUGGGUCUGCCGCAAGUAAGAGCGGGCCGUGGCCCCGCUGCUCCCUUCCUGCGGGGUCCCCGGCUGGGCUGGCUGCGGCCCUGGCAUCGGACUCUCCCUGGGCCUUGUGGGGCACCCAGCCCAGCACCCUUCAGGGUCAGGAUGCUCAGCUUGCUACCUUCUCGCCACCCUGGUAUUUACUCCAAUCCCUCAGCAUCUUCACCCACUUGUCAGCUCGCCCGAUCUCCUGGGCUUUUUGCUGGAAAAUGGGAAAUGGUGGUGCUGGCCCAGCUGCCAGCUUCCUAGGGUGGCCCUGAUGGGCGUGACCUCAAAAGGGCCAGGAAAGGCGCAGACCCCUCAGCCCGAGGACCCCUUGACGGCUCUGGGGUCAGGGCGGCAGGGAACCGAAGCUGCACCCACGACGUCCUCCCCCCUCCCGCCGGUGCAGCAUGGAUGGCUCUUACCCUCGCUGAGUGGGUGCUGCAGCCGCUGAUGCUGAGGCCCUGGGUGCUGAGGCUACGCAGCUCCCCUGACUGGAAGGCAAGAGAAGCAGAGCGUGAGGACCUGCACCCGGCCGGGUGCCCAGAAGGCCCCACCUGCCCCCAUCAAGCCCCAGGUGUCAGCCCAGGAGACUGCGGAGGGGAGGGCUGACCCCAGGAGGGUGCUGGCUCAGGGAUGGGCUGCGUCCCACAGCAGCCCCAGGAGGUGCCCCACCUCCUGCCGAUGCUGGUCACCCGCUCUGUUCCAUGCCCUCCCGGCCCCUGCCCUGCUGGAGCGCAGAGGCCCCCGCUCAGGGCUCUCAGGUGAGUUGCUCCCCAGGGCCUCACCCUGCUCCAGAGUGGAUGCCUCCGUCCAGGUGAGUCACUCCCCAGGGCCUCACCCUGCUCCAGAGUGGACGCCACCGUCCAGGUGAGUCGCUCCCCAGGGCCUCACCCUGCUCCAGAGUGGACGCCUCCGUCCAGGAGCCCAGCACCCUUAGCCCUGCUGCAGACCAGCUCCGUCCAGGUACAUGCACGUCUUCUCCUCUCUCCCCCACCGUGGCCCGGCCCGGCCUUCUACCCCGAGUCUCCUCCCAGCCCCAGACCGAGGGGUCAGGUCGUCUUCAGCUGCAAACUCCGCCUGCGUCUGUCUCCUUCCCGUGAGCUUCUGAGGCCGGUCCUGCCUGCUCCCCCUGCCCGUCCCUCCAGCGCCUGAGGCCACACCUCUCACUGUCCUCCGGGCCAGAGCCUCGGAGACCUGUGGGCCAGGCGCGCCUCACCCUGUGGCCACGCUCUGCAGAGUCUGCUAACCAGGCUGAGCCUCCCUCUGACCUCGGAGGCAGAGGCCAGGGCCAGGCAUGGAGGCCACGCGGCUGAGGCCCAGGCCUGGACCAGCGCCCAGCCCUGCCCCCGCCGCCUCCCCGAGUCCUCUCAGCUCCAGCCCAGUGCAGACCCUGACCUGCCGUGGCCACCAGGGGUCGAGGCCCUGAGCUGGGGCGAUGGGUCCCGCCUCCAGAGAGGUCUUUCUGCAAAAGGAAACCUGCCCCGAGAUGGGAAGGAGGGGCAUCCUGAUGCCUCAUGGCAGAAAACGUAGCCUGUCGGCAACUUUGUACAGCGAGCGGUCAGCAUCUUCCCCGGGUUCCACUGGAGCCCCUGCCUGGCCCUGAAACCCACAGAGGCCAGAGGUGUGGCCAAAGGAGGGGCAGGACACCUCCCCUGCCCUGCGUCCCAGGAGCACAGCACGAGACCCACCUGCCCGAGUGGGAGCUGCUCGUACCUGGCUAGGAUCCUGCCUGGGCCACCUGGUCCCACUGGCUGUGACCGCCACCCAGGCCAUACCCGCCCCUCCGGGGCCAGCAGGGUCUCCGGCUUCUCCAUGUGCGACGCUGCAAGACAAAAAUAUCCAAAUAUCCCAGUGUGCUAAAGAGCUUCAGAGAGCCAGCAAGUUGAAGUUGGCUCCUUGUCGGCAGCUCCCCCGUCUGUCUGAUGAGGGGAGAAAACCACGCCGCCGGGGUGGCGGGUCAUGGCUCGCACCCACACCUCGUAACACUUACUUCCGCUUCCAGACUCCCCUCCGAGCCGCCUGGGAAACCCUGUCACAGUGAGGUGAUGAGGGGCAAGCAGGGGGCCAGGAGGCCCAGGCGAAGUGCUGAGCUGCGCAGUGAGCUGCGAUCCUGGCCUUGGGCGCUGAGGAAGGGAGAGGGUGGCUGCCGGCUGCAGAGGGGCUCCUGCGGGAAUCACAGUUUGCUCGAGCACCAGAAGCACGAGCAACACGGGACUUCCCUGGCGGUCCAGCGGUUAGGACUCUGUGCUUCUACUGCAGGGGCACGGGUUCCAUCCCUGGUCGGGGAACUAAGAUCUCACAUGCUGCAUAGCAUGGCCACACACACAACAAAUAAACAAGUAAAAAAGCACGAGCAACAGAAAAAAAUUGAUAAACUGGACUUUAUCAACACGAAAAACUUCUGUGCUUCAAAUGACACCAUCAAGAAAGUGAAAAGACACACAAUGAAUAAAAAGAUUUGUGAAUCACCUAUCUGAUAAGGGGCCUAGUAUACAGAGUAUAUAAAAACUCCGAACUCAAUCAAAAGAAGUAGACCAAUUAGAAAAUGGACAGAGGACAUAGACAGACCUUUCUCCGAAGUCUACCCAGCUUCAGAGACAAGGCCACAGGACACACCACUCCUCACCCACGGAAUGGCUAUCACCAGUAACACAAGGAUGCAGAGAAAUUAGAACCCUCCUGUAUUGCGGACAGGAAAUACUGAUCCGGGCUACAACAUGGAUGGAGAUGAUGCUCAGUGAAAGAAAUUGGAUACAAGAGACCACAGUGAUCCCAUUGAUCUGAAACGUCCAGCAUCGCCAGAUCCGUAGAGACAGAAACUCGACCAGUGGUCUCCAGGGCUGGGGGAGGGGCUGGGGGGUUCUCUGCUGACGGAUACGAGACUUUGUUACGAGGUGGUGAAAUGUGGACACAGUGGUGACGGUUGCACAACUUUGUAAAUACUCUGAAAACCACUGAUCGGUGUAUUUUAACAGCUAAAUUUAGUGAUGUGUGAAUUGAAGAAAAAGAGCUCUCUGAGCCCGAUUCCCCACAGUCUCAGCCCCAGGAGACCCUGAAGGUGGCAGGGGCGCUCCUGGUCAAGGGCGGCCCUGGGAUCCUGCCCACUAGGCUCCUCCCAGGACCGGGCGCCCACCCAGGAUGGCCCCACUCGGGAAGCAGAGCAGGGACUGGGGACCGGGGGUCUCUAGGACGAGAUGCUCACACCUACUCCAGCUGACUGAACUCAAAGCUGGUGCUGGCUGGUGAAUCAGCUCAGACGACACCGCAGCUGAUCAGGAGGGUGUGGCUUGGGGAGAGGAGGACAUGUUUGACCUCAGGCAGCCUCUGUGCUGCUGAGACCGUCUCUAGGUCCACAAUUCUGAACAAGGCGAUGGGGGAAGGGCCUCACGGUCCCCAUUCACGCAGAGGGACCCACUCGUUCCUGGACACUUGCAGAAGGCCCAGCCCAUCGGGAACACGGCUGGGAUGUGUUGGGCCAGUGACACGUCAAGAGGACUUGGGACAGGGCACUGCUCAGGAUGAGGCCCUGUGUCCCAGCCCGGCCCACAGCCCGAACACAAACGUCCUCACCUGGCAGUGCCCCUGAUCUGGGGCACGAUGGACAGGGUACUUCGAGGACGCAGGGCACAAGCACAGGGCUUGGAGAGGGCGCCGGGCUGUGGGGCUUCCGAAGCUCUGAGCACCUCUCCGCACCCUGCCCUGCUCCGCUCGCCUCCCCUCCAUCCACACGCCUCCCCUCCCCUCCCUCGCACCCCUAGCCUUCACCCUUCACCUCCUCCUGCACCCUCCCCUCCUGCCCACUUCUUGCAUCCCUUCUCCAUCCUUCCUCCUCCUCUGUCCCCACUGGCCACUCGCCUCCACCCUUCCUUCCGCAUUCUCCCCAUUUCCCGACACCCAGACCUACUCCUCAGCCACUCAGCCACUCUCCCCUACUGCUCCUGCGUCCCACCGCCCUCCAUCUUUCCUGUCCUUCCCCCUCUUCCUGUCUUACCUCCUCCUCCCUCCGUCACCCUGCAUGCACCUCCCCACUGGCUCCGUCUUCUAUCUGUCUCCCCCUGCUCUUCCUCCCGCAUCCUCUCUACCCCCUCCUGCUGUCCUUCCUCCUCCUCUGGGCCAGGUGUCUAAGCUCUGACCUCGGGCUCCUCACGUGGACACGGGCACCUCUGGCAGCAGCCCUCCCCCCACGGAGGCAGAAGGGGCUGCAGGGGCCUGGCCCAGGGUCAGUGGGGUGGGGUCCGAGUCAGCUUGGCUGGAGCCAGAGAGGACGGAGGCACCCACCCAUGGGCCUCUGUCCCCACUGUGGCCACAAGAGACGAGGUGAUGCUUACCCAUCUGACCUCUUGCUGCUGGGAGAUGUGCCUCCUCGAUGGAAAUGCACCCAGGGAAGGGGCAGGAGAGAUGGAGCUGGGCAGGUGAGGGUCAGAGACGGUCAGGGACCCCGGGGGCCUCCAAACACCUACGGACACGAAGAAGAGUGGGUGCCAGGCAGCGGGUGGGACUGUGGGGUCACUGCCACUCCACCCCACGAUGGGCCCCGCGUCAUUGCUCAGGGUUGGCACUGAGCCCUUUCCCUCUAAGGGGUCUUGCCUUUGGACGAGGUCUUGUCGCCAGGCAGGGGAAUGUGGCCAGGGCCAGGCGGAUUCGGGCAGGUGCUGGCUUCUGGUACACGGACCCCCAGGGCCAGCCCGCCCCCGACCCCUAAGCACAUUCCCCCAUCCCUUACCCUGCUGGCCACCAGUGCCAGGUGGCUACUUAGGCCCACCCUAAGCCUUCGCAGUCUGAGUUAAAUCCCGAUAGCGUUUUCCACCCAGGCCUCAGCCAGCUUCCUUGAGGUUCUCUGGGUCUGACGGCCACAUCAGAGGCUCACCUGGGUACAACCUUUAUAGGUACCUGCACCCUAAACAAAUACAGACGCUCUGGACUGGCCUGGAGCCCCUGGCUCACCCCCUGCUCUUCCUCCCGCAUCCUCUCUACCCCCUCCUGCUGUCCUUCCUCCUCCUCUGGGCCAGGUGUCUAAGCUCUGACCUUGGGCUCCUCACGUGGACACGGGCACCUCUGGCAGCAGCCCUCCCCCCACAGACCGAUUACGUGGCUGGAUGCGCCCGGCCCAUGGUCAAUGCUGGGGGGUCAGCGUCGUCUUGGCCGCAUCCCAGGAAGGAUGGAACCGCCCAUCUGGUGACCUCUACCCCCAACGUGGCCACAAGGGACGAGGGUGCAGGUGAUGCUCACCUUUCCGGCCUCUCAACUGCUGGAGCGGCGCCUGGUCUCUACAGAUGGACUGCGGUCGGGUCGGGCGAGGGUCAGAGCAGGUCAGAGACCACGAGGGCUCCCAACUGCCUACGGACACGAAGCACAGUGGGUGCCGGGCAGCAGGCAGAACUGCGGUGUCGCUGCCCGGGUCAGAGGUCAGGAUCAGAACCGAGCCCUUUACCUCAAAGGUCUCUUGCCUUUGGGGGAGGGUCCUGUCACCAUGCAGGUCUCAGCCGGGAGGCCUGGCCCUCUCCCGCCAUCCCUUGGCCCAUCCUCAUGGAGUCCAGCCAAGCCGCCUCCAGAUGGUCCUGUAUCACAGUUAUCCACUCCCCCUCCCACAGCAUCACUGAGUGUCUUUUUCAUUUACCAGUCUUCAAAGUCUUCAUGAUUACCUUCGAGGUGUGUCUGCUGUUAAUGGCUGUGAAUGUGCAUUUCGUGGGUCCAUCAGGAUGUUAUUGAAGUCCCGCACUGACGGGCACUCAUGCUUUUCAGAUCUGACAAAUGCAGCCGGAGGGCUCCAAGCUCAUGCUCUUCCCACCUGGAAACGACGCUGUCUGUCCCCUCCGUGCUCUUUGAGAAAAUAUUUGCAAAUGAAGCAACUGACAAAGGAUUAAUCUCCAAAAUUUACAAGCAGCUCAUGCAGCUCAAUAACAAGAAAACAAACAACCCAAUCCAAAAAUGGGCAGAAGACCUAAAUAGACAUUUCUCCAAAGAAGAUAUACAGACUGCCAACAAACACAUGAAAGAAUGCGCGACAUCAUUAAUCAUUAGAGAAAUGCAAAUCAAAACUACAGUGAGAUAUCAUCUCACACCGGUUAGAAUGGCCAUCAUCAAAAAAUCUACAAACAAUAAAUGCUGGAGAGAGUGUGGAGAAAAGGGAACACUCUUGCACUGCUGCUGGGAAUGGGAAUUGGUACAGCCACUAUGGAGAACAGUAUGGAGGUUCCUUAAAAAACUUCAAAUAGAACUACCAUAUGACCCAGCAAUCCCACUACUGGGCAUAUACCCUGAGAAAACCAUAAUUCAAAAAGAGUCAUGUACCAAAAUGUUCACUGCAGCUCUAUUUACAAUAGCCAGGAGAUGGAAACAACCUAAGUGUCCAUCAUCAGAUGAACGGAUAAAGAAGAUGUGACACAUAUAUACAAUGGAAUAUUAGCCAUAAAAAGAAACGAAAUUGAGCUAUUUAUAAUGAGGUGGAUAGACCUAGAGUCUGUCAUACAGAGUGAAGUAAAUCAGAAAGAGAAAGACAAAUACCGUAUGCUAACACAUAUAUAUGGAAUUUAAGAAAAAAAAUGUCACGAAGAACCUAGGGGUAAGACAGGAAUAAAGACACAGACCUACUAGAGAAUGGACUUGAGGAUAUGGGGAGGGGAAGGGUAAGCUGUGACAAAGCGAGAGAGUGGCAUGGACAUAUAUACACUACCAAACGUAAAAUAGAUAGC